RNAcentral lists this ribosomal RNA (423 nucleotides) under uncultured prokaryote. Its description in RNAcentral is "bacterial SSU rRNA". It matches the Rfam family "Bacterial small subunit ribosomal RNA", at positions 355 to 774 of the family's 1533-position model. The record is from RNAcentral.
UAAGGAAUAUUGGUCAAUGGACGCAAGUCUGAACCAGCCAUGCCGCGUGAAGGAAGACGGCCCUACGGGUGGUAAACUUCUUUUGUACGGGAAAAAAUCUCCGGUCGUGAAUCGGAGCUGAUGGUACCGUAAGAAUAAGCAUCGGCUAACUCCGGGCCAGAAGCCGCGGUAAUACGGAGGAUGCAAGCGUUAUACGGAGUCAUUGGGUUUAAUGGGUGCGCAGGCGGAAUGAUAAGUCAGUGGUGAAAUCCUACGGCUCAACUGUGGAACUGCCAUUGAUACUGUCGUUCUUGAGUACACUUGGAGUGGGCGGAAUGUGUCAUGUAGCGGUGAAAUGCUUAGAUAUGACACAGAACACCGAUCGCGAAGGCAGCUCACUAAAUUGUAACUGACGCUCAGGCACGAAAGCGUGGGGAUCAAACA